GAUGAAGAACGUAGCGAAAUGCGAUACUUGGUGUGAAUUGCAGAAUCCCGUGAACCAUCGAGUCUUUGAACGCAAGUUGCGCCCGAAGCCAUUAGGCCGAGGGCACGCCUGCCUGGGCGUCACACGUCGUUGCCCCCCCAUCUACUCCUUCGGGAUUGCGGGGGGCGGAUGAUGGCCUCCCGUGCGCCUUGUCGCGCGGUUGGCAUAAAUACCAAGUCCUCGGCGACGCACGCCACGACAAUCGGUGGUUGCGAAACCUCGGUUGCCCGUCGUGUGCGGUCGUCGCGCAUCGAGGGCUCGAAAAAAUUGCCGAGUUCCGGCUCGGCUUUCAACGCGACCCCAGGUCAGGCGGGGUUACCCGCUGAAUUUAAGCAUAUCAAUAAGCGGAGGA
Molecule: unclassified non-coding RNA, 391 nt
Filed under: soil metagenome
Description: partial contains 5.8S ribosomal RNA, internal transcribed spacer 2, and large subunit ribosomal RNA
Rfam family: 5.8S ribosomal RNA (bases 1-122)
Source: RNAcentral